AAGGAUAUAUUCGGAACAUCUUCUACGAAGAUGAAAGGAAUAACGUGACAUAUUGUAUUCAGUUUUGAAUGUUUAUGACAUUCUUUUUAAUAAUGGGCCUAUAGCUCAGCUGGUUAGAGCGCACGCCUGAUAAGCGUGAGGUCGGUGGUUCGAGUCCACUUAGGCCCACCAUUAAUUUAAUAUUGAUACGGGGGCUUAGCUCAGCUGGGAGAGCGCCUGCUUUGCACGCAGGAGGUCAGCGGUUCGAUCCCGCUAGUCUCCACCAUGAUAUAUUGUACAUUGAAAACUAGAUAAGUAAGUAAAUUAGAUUUUACCAAGCAAAACCGAGUGAAUAGAGUUUUAAAUAAGCUUGAAUUCAUAAAAUAAUCGCUAGUGUUCGAAAGAACACUCACAGAUUAAUAACAUAUCUUAAA
Molecule: transfer RNA, 413 nt
Filed under: Staphylococcus caprae
Lineage: Bacteria; Bacillati; Bacillota; Bacilli; Caryophanales; Staphylococcaceae
Description: 16S-23S ribosomal RNA intergenic spacer
Rfam family: tRNA (bases 95-168)
Source: RNAcentral